UUGACAUAUUAGCAGCUCUCUCAGUUUGCAACUUAGUGAUUGUUUCUUUUUGUUCUUCAGAGACUCUGCAGACUUCUGCACUCUUCAGACACAGCUUUUUAUAUGAUUCAGCCAGUUCAUCAAAUGUCAGUUCUUCUUCACAGGAUUCAGUGUCAGAUGUGCAAACACUUGUCAAUACAUGUAUAGCCUUUGCAGUAUCGGUUUCUCCUUCAGAAUCUUCAUCUGACCAAGUUACAGUUAACCCCUUUUUUUGUUUCUUCAGAAAGGUACCACAUUCACUUCUAAUGUGUCCAAACCCCUCACAUUCAUGGCAUUGAACACCUUUAUUUGGAGCUGAUUUUU
This 342-nucleotide long non-coding RNA is filed under the name Trifolium pratense (red clover). RNAcentral's name for it is "long non-coding RNA (TPRA_LNC010664)". Lineage: Eukaryota; Viridiplantae; Streptophyta; Magnoliopsida; Fabales; Fabaceae. The record is from RNAcentral.